This 468-nucleotide ribosomal RNA is filed under the name uncultured bacterium. Its description in RNAcentral is "partial 16S ribosomal RNA". It matches the Rfam family "Bacterial small subunit ribosomal RNA", at positions 28 to 507 of the family's 1533-position model. The record is from RNAcentral.
GACGAACGCUGGCGGCGUGCUUAACGCAUGCAAGUCGAACGGAAAGGCCCUGCUUUUGUGGGGUGCUCGAGUGGCGAACGGGUGAGUAACACGUGAGUAACCUGCCCUUGACUUUGGGAUAACUUCAGGAAACUGGGGCUAAUACCGGAUAGGAGCUCCUGCUGCAUGGUGGGGGUUGGAAAGUUUCGGCGGUUGGGGAUGGACUCGCGGCUUAUCAGCUUGUUGGUGGGGUAGUGGCUUACCAAGGCUUUGACGGGUAGCCGGCCUGAGAGGGUGACCGGCCACAUGGGGACUGAGAGACGGCCCAGACUCCUACGGGAGGCAGCAGUGGGGAAUAUUGCACAAUGGGCGGAAGCCUGAUGCAGCAACGCCGCGUGCGGGAUGACGGCCUUCGGGUUGUAAACCGCUUUCGCCUGUGACGAAGCGUGAGUGACGGUAAUGGGUAAAGAAGCACCGGCUAACUACGUG